RNAcentral lists this long non-coding RNA (775 nucleotides) under Homo sapiens (human). RNAcentral describes it as "HSALNT0259083". Lineage: Eukaryota; Metazoa; Chordata; Mammalia; Primates; Hominidae. The record is from RNAcentral.
AGGACUCCCAGACCCCUCACCUUCUGCCUCCCCUGGUCGCGUCCGGGUCCUUGCGGAGCUAACUAGCUCGCCACGACGUCAAGAACGACGUAACGUCAGGCCGCUGUGGGCUCUGGGAAUUGUAGUCCAGAGCUAGAUCGGCCACGGACAGAAUGGCGUUCUCUUAUCUCUGAGUCGGGGCCUGGCUCGUUUUGACAUUUUUGCGCCCACGAGUCUUCGGAGAGGGCGUCGCCACUCCAGACCUUCCAGCAAGCUUGAAGUCAUCUGACGCUAAAGGACUACUUACCUCAAGAGCUCCAUCGUCACAGAAGGAGGCGGCCAAGUUCGCGGGGGGAGGGGAGGAGACAGAGAGUCGACCAGUAAAGCCUCAAGGGAAAUGUAGUCCAAGGCCUGAGAAGCGACGUUGCUGGUAAUAGAAGGAAGACAUAGGCCAAGGAGCCAGACUUCCUGUGUUAACUCCUUCCUCUGCCACUUUUUACCUUGGGGACCUCAGUUAAUAUGAUCCUCUGUUGAAGCAAGAAGACAAACUGUAUGGUGGAGAAAGAAGUGGGAAGGAUCUGCGCGGAAGAAGCCUGAGAAGAUGAUGCACAGAUAGAGAGGCACCAGGACUUGAGAGGCACCAGGACUUGGGAGGCAUGUUGAUCCAUCUCCAGGAAAGACUGAGAAAAAGAGCGUUGAAUAUAAGAAAAAAUACUUCCUCUGUUCUCAGAUCGUAUUUGUUUUAAGGCCACACCUUUUUGAAGUUUUCAGUUUGAAACACAACCUGGACUGAAAU